This 505-nucleotide ribosomal RNA is filed under the name uncultured bacterium. RNAcentral describes it as "partial 16S ribosomal RNA". It matches the Rfam family "Bacterial small subunit ribosomal RNA", at positions 29 to 523 of the family's 1533-position model. The record is from RNAcentral.
AGUGAACGCUGGCGGUAGGCCUAACACAUGCAAGUCGAACGGCAGCACAGAGGAGCUUGCUCCUUGGGUGGCGAGUGGCGGACGGGUGAGGAAUACAUCGGAAUCUACUCUGUCGUGGGGGAUAACGUAGGGAAACUUACGCUAAUACCGCAUACGACCUACGGGUGAAAGCAGGGGAUCUUCGGACCUUGCGCGAUUGAAUGAGCCGAUGUCGGAUGAGCUAGUUGGCGGGGUAAAGGCCCACCAAGGCGACGAUCCGUAGCGGGUCUGAGAGGAUGAUCAGCCACGCUGGAACUGAGACACGGUCCAGACUCCUACGGGAGGCAGCAGUGGGGAAUAUUGGACAAUGGGCGCAAGCCUGAUCCAGCCAUACCGCGUGGGUGAAGAAGGCCUUCGGGUUGUAAAGCCCUUUGUUGGGAAAGAAAUCCAUCUGGUUAAUACCCGGGUGGGAUGACGGUACCCAAAGAAUAAGCACCGGCUAACUUCGUGCCAGCCGCCGCAGUAA